CCUACGGGAGGCAGCAGUGGGGAAUCUUGCGCAAUGGACGAAAGUCUGACGCAGCCACGCCGCGUGAGUGAAGAAGGCCUUCGGGUUGUAAAGCUCUGUCGGAGGGGACAAAAACGUUUAGGGUUAAUAGCCCUAGAUCUUGAUGGUACCCUCAAAGGAAGCACCGGCUAACUUCGUGCCAGCAGCCGCGGUAAUACGAAGGGUGCAAGCGUUGCUCGGAAUUAUUGGGCGUAAAGGGUAGGUAGGUGGUUACGUAUGUCUGAGGUGAAAGCCCCGAGCUUAACUUGGGAAGUGCCUUGGAAACGGCGUAACUAGAGUAUUGGAGAGGUUUGUAGAAUUCCCGGUGUAGCGGUGAAAUGCGUAGAGAUCGGGAGGAAUAUCAGAGGCGAAGGCGACAAACUGGACAAUUACUGACACUAAACUACGAAAGCGUGGGGAGCAAACAGGAUUAGAUACCCUGGUAGUCCACGCUGUAAACGAUGGGUACUAGAGUUCGGGGGAGUUGACCCCUCCGGACUCGGAGCUAACGCGAUAAGUACCCCGCCUGGGAAGUACGGUCGCAAGCUAAAACUCAAAGGAAUUGACGGCNGAGACGNGCGACGACGACGACGAGGAGAGG
Molecule: ribosomal RNA, 619 nt
Filed under: uncultured bacterium
Lineage: Bacteria
Description: bacterial SSU rRNA
Rfam family: Bacterial small subunit ribosomal RNA
Source: RNAcentral